UGCCUUAGACAUGCAAGUCGAGCGAGGGCUUCGGCCCUAGCGGCGAACGGCGGAGUAAUGCAUAAGCAACGUGCCCCAAAGACUGGGAUAGUGGAGGGAAACCACCGGUAAUACCAGAUGUGGCCCUUGGUAGGCAUCUAUCGAGGAUUAAACCGAGCAAUCGGCUUUGGGAGCGGCUUAUGUCCUAUCAGCUUGUUGGUAAGGUAACGGCUUACCAAGGCUACGACGGGUAGGGGGUCUGAGAGGAUGAUCCCCCCGAGUGGGACUGCGACACGGCCCACACACCUACGGGUGGCAGCAGUUUGGAAUAUUGCACAAUGGAGGAAACUCUGAUGCAGCGACGCCGCGUGGAGGACGAAGGAUCUAGGUCUGUAAACUCC
RNAcentral lists this ribosomal RNA (380 nucleotides) under uncultured organism. Its description in RNAcentral is "bacterial SSU rRNA". It matches the Rfam family "Bacterial small subunit ribosomal RNA", at positions 45 to 433 of the family's 1533-position model. The record is from RNAcentral.